GUAACAAGGACACCCGGCACUAAGCACAAACAUUCGCUUUCAAAGAGGAACAAAGAGAAACGCCUUCAUGCCAGGUGCAGGUCCGCCUCAAUGCUCUGCUAAAUUUCUCGUCCUGAUUGCACGCUGAGGACGAGUGGCCAAGGCGUAGCGAGGAUGGCGCUGCACACCAGAUCGAGCGCUUUUGUGCUAUUUUCAGCGGCGUCGCUGGCUCUCCUGGUCCCCUCGUCCAGCCAGAACUUGGAGGAGCUCCACAGCCUCUUCCAACAUGCUGUCGGCAACAACGAGACAGAGUCGGGCGGCCCUAGCGACCCGUUU
Long non-coding RNA from Penaeus monodon (black tiger shrimp), 315 nucleotides. RefSeq lists it as uncharacterized. The record is from RefSeq and is a predicted model, not a curated record. Lineage: Eukaryota; Metazoa; Arthropoda; Malacostraca; Decapoda; Penaeidae. The transcript is spliced from 3 exons.